GGACGAACGCUGGCGGCGUGCCUAACACAUGCAAGUCGAACGGGGAUUUGUUUCGGCAGAAUCCUAGUGGCGAACGGGUGAGUAACGCGUAGGCAACCUGCCCUCCGGCCGGGGACAACACUCCGAAAGGGGUGCUAAUACCGGAUACGAAGUCUGUGCCGCAUGGUACGGAUUUGAAAGAUGGCCUCUGUUUACAAGCUAUCGCCGGGGGAUGGGCCUGCGUCCGAUUAGCUGGUUGGUGGGGUAACGGCCUACCAAGGCGACGAUCGGUAGCCGGUCUGAGAGGAUGAACGGCCACAUUGGGACUGAGACACGGCCCAGACUCCUACGGGAGGCAGCAGUGGGGAAUCUUCCGCAAUGGGCGCAAGCCUGACGGAGCAACGCCGCGUGAGUGAGGAAGUUCUUCGGAACGUAAAGCUCUGUUGUUCCUGACGAACCUCCCUUCUAUCAACAACGGAAGGGACUGACGGUAGGGAACGAGGAAGCCACGGCUAACUACGUGCCAGCCGCCGC
This 513-nucleotide ribosomal RNA is filed under the name uncultured bacterium. RNAcentral's name for it is "bacterial SSU rRNA". It matches the Rfam family "Bacterial small subunit ribosomal RNA", at positions 27 to 518 of the family's 1533-position model. The record is from RNAcentral.